CCGAUAGGCGUCGACCGGCGCACGGGUGAGUAACGCGUAUCCAACCUGCCCAUCACUUGGGGAUAACCUUGCGAAAGUAAGACUAAUACCCAAUGACGUCUCUAGAAGACAUCUGAAAGAGAUUAAAGAUUUAUCGGUGUACGAUGGGGAUGCGUUCCAUUAGGUAGUAGGCGGGGUAACGGCCCACCUAGCCAACGAUGGAUAGGGGUUCUGAGAGGAAGGUCCCCCACAUUGGAACUGAGACACGGUCCAAACUCCUACGGGAGGCAGCAGUGAGGAAUAUUGGUCAAUGGGCGAGAGCCUGAACCAGCCAAGUAGCGUGCAGGAUGACGGCCCUAUGGGUUGUAAACUGCUUUUAUAAGGGAAUAAAGUGGGAGUCGUGACUCUUUUUGCAUGUACCUUAUGAAUAAGGACCGGCUAAUUCCGUG
Molecule: ribosomal RNA, 428 nt
Filed under: uncultured bacterium
Lineage: Bacteria
Description: bacterial SSU rRNA
Rfam family: Bacterial small subunit ribosomal RNA
Source: RNAcentral